This 239-nucleotide long non-coding RNA is filed under the name Elaeis guineensis (African oil palm). RNAcentral's name for it is "long non-coding RNA (EGUI_LNC013280)". Lineage: Eukaryota; Viridiplantae; Streptophyta; Magnoliopsida; Arecales; Arecaceae. The record is from RNAcentral.
AUAACUAAAUGUGAACUUUUCAGCAAUUGACUCCAAUAUUUCAAUCUUUUUUGUAAAUUUGACAUUUUCGUCCAUUAGAGAUUUUUUAAAUUUCAAAAAAAAAAUCUUCAUCUAAUAUUUUCUUUUCUUUCAACAUAUCAUCUUUUUCCUUCAAAAUUUUAUUCUUUUCUUCAGAUAAAGAUAUAUUUAAACUUUUAAGCUUCUUAUUUUUCAGUCUUAACUUUUUAUAUUCAUCCAUU